CAGGAAGGUGUUGGCCGUCCCUCUCGGUGUUUGGGCCAGAUAAGAGGGCGCGUGAAGGGGUGGGGAGUGCGUCUGCCUGAAGGGCAAUUGGUAGAGGGUCGGGAGCGCUGGCGCACAGUCCUGGGCUAUUUCUCUGACUGCGGUGGGUGGGCGGGCAGGCAGGAAGAACGGACGUGCCUGAGAAGCGGCUGCGCUUCGGAGGCUUGCUUGAAGGGGACUGGAGUUUUGGAGCGUGGGCGAGGGCCCAAGGCGGGAACCGAGGCUCGGUGGUCCAAGGUGGCGGUGGGCGUUGCCUUCCGGCGGGCGGCCUGGCCAAAAGGUCCGCUUGGGGAUUCGAACCCACGCCUCCAGGGAAGACUGCGACCUGAACGCUGCGCCUUAGACCGGUCGGCCAUCCUGACGGCGUGCCGUGGAGCGUUGCGGUUCGCGUGCCUGGGAGCCGGCGCCCUUGGCCGCUGCGUUCCGUGCGCAACCGACGGAUCGCGCGGGGGGAGCAGGCACCGAGUGAACGCAACCGGCUGGCUCUGGCGCGGACGCCCCGGCGUCCCCACCCCGGACCCAAAAGGUCCGCGGAGUGCAGGCCGCCCCUGCACGUCCCCGCCCCCGCGCCUCCGCCGGCUGUACCCCCGCAGGGCACGCGCCCACCAGGUCCUAGGAGCAGCCGCCUGGCGGUUUCGCCCGCGCCUCUUCCUCCCGGCGCGAUCCCAGCGUUGGAGACAGCAGACAGGGCGCACGGGGAGGUUCCACGCCACUCGGACCCGGAGCUGUCGGGGUCCCGCUCCGGAUCCAGGUGGGAUCGCAGGGUGCUUUGUUGGGUGUCAAGUUAGGUCACGCCACCGGUGGUGGGUGGCGAGUGGCAGGUUGCGGUGGCGGAUGACAGGUCGCGGGAGGGCGCGUGCCGGGCCCCUGCGGUCGGUCGGCGGAAGGGAUCAAGGCAGGGCUCGGCGUCCGCGGUCGGAGUGGGGUCUGGCGUCCCGUUGGCCGUCACCGUCGUCCUCGUUAGUAUAG
RNAcentral lists this long non-coding RNA (1008 nucleotides) under Callithrix jacchus (white-tufted-ear marmoset). RNAcentral's name for it is "lncRNA (ENSCJAG00000076173.1)". Lineage: Eukaryota; Metazoa; Chordata; Mammalia; Primates; Cebidae. The record is from RNAcentral.